Molecule: ribosomal RNA, 453 nt
Filed under: uncultured bacterium
Lineage: Bacteria
Description: SSU rRNA
Rfam family: Bacterial small subunit ribosomal RNA
Source: RNAcentral
AGAGCGAACGCUGGCGGCAUGCUUAACACAUGCAAGUCGCACGGGCGGGGGCAACCCUGUCAGUGGCGGACGGGUGAGUAACGCGUAGGUAUCUAUCCUUGGGUGGGGGACAACUGUGGGAAACUACAGCUAAUACCGCAUGAUGACCGAGGUCCAAAGCUCGCGAGAGCGCCUGGGGAGGAGCCUGCGUACGAUUAGCUAGUUGGUGGGGUAAAGGCCUACCAAGGCGACGAUCGUUAGCUGGUCUGAGAGGAUGAUCAGCCACAUUGGGACUGAGACACGGCCCAAACUCCUACGGGAGGCAGCAGUGGGGAAUAUUGGACAAUGGGCGAAAGCCUGAUCCAGCAAUGCCGCGUGUGUGAAGAAGGUCUUCGGAUUGUAAAGCACUUUCGACGGGGACGAUGAUGACGGUACCCGUAGAAGAAGCCCGGCUAACUUCGUGCCAGCAGCCGC